Molecule: long non-coding RNA, 217 nt
Organism: Triticum dicoccoides
Lineage: Eukaryota; Viridiplantae; Streptophyta; Magnoliopsida; Poales; Poaceae
Exons: 3
Source: RefSeq, a predicted model, not a curated record
CCUAAUCUAUUCCUUACCUCACACUGCAGCAGCACAACAUUCUCCACUGGUAGGCAUUCGUUGACGAGAAGCUUGGCCAAACCCAGUAGGUAUGCGUGGAAUUAUUGAGCUCAGGUUUUUUGGGAUUAAGAUUCUUACACCAAAGGAUCACUAUAUGCCAAGACUUCGAGGAUGAUAAGAGCGGAAGAUUUGGAUUUAAUUGUUAGGCUCGAUGGCU